RNAcentral lists this ribosomal RNA (510 nucleotides) under uncultured fungus. RNAcentral's name for it is "SSU rRNA". It matches the Rfam family "Eukaryotic small subunit ribosomal RNA", at positions 569 to 1081 of the family's 1831-position model. Lineage: Eukaryota; Fungi. The record is from RNAcentral.
AGCAGCCGCGGUAAUUCCAGCUCCAAUAGCGUAUAUUAAAGUUGUUGCAGUUAAAAAGCUCGUAGUUGAAUUUCGGGAUCAGUACAAUGGUCGUGCCUCUGGUACGUACUGUCGUGACUGGUUCCUCCCUUCUGAAGAACUGCCAUGUCAUUAAUUUGGUGUGGCGGGGAAUCAGGACUGUUACUUUGAAAAAAUUAGAGUGUUUAAAGCAGGCUCGCGCUUGAAUACAUUAGCAUGGAAUAAUGAAAUAGGACGUUUGAUCCUAUUUUGUUGGUUUCUAGGAUUGACGUAAUGAUUAAUAGGGAUAGUUGGGGGCAUUAGUAUUCAAUUGUCAGAGGUGAAAUUCUUGGAUUUAUUGAAGACUAACUACUGCGAAAGCAUUUGCCAAGGAUGUUUUCAUUAAUCAAGAACGAAAGUUAGGGGAUCGAAGACGAUCAGAUACCGUCGUAGUCUUAACCAUAAACUAUGCCGACUAGGGAUCGGAUGAUGUUAAUUUUUAAUGACUCAUUC